Long non-coding RNA from Aethalodelphis obliquidens (Pacific white-sided dolphin), 697 nucleotides. RefSeq lists it as uncharacterized. The transcript has 5 exons. Lineage: Eukaryota; Metazoa; Chordata; Mammalia; Artiodactyla; Delphinidae. The record is from RefSeq and is a predicted model, not a curated record.
AAAGGGAAAUCAAAUCCAACUGCAUCUCCCACUGCAUUAGUGUGAGAUCGUGAAGAUCUGAGGACAGUGCAGCACAUCUCAGGGGAAGGUUAUGAUACAAAAUGCUGUGGUCUGUCAUGGAAGCUUUACCCUGGAUUAGAAUUCCUCAGCCAGAAGCAUGAAAAAACCUGAAAUUGCUUUUAACAAAGUCCUUAGAGUUGAUUUGGAAUGAGAAGAAUUGGGUUUGAGACUUUAUGCUGUAAUUUUACAGCUAGGUAACGUUGGAUAUAUCUUGAAAGUUACCAAGAAGGACUCAUCAAAUAUCACCUGAGUGAGACAGUCCUGAGAGCAUAACCCAUGAAUAUAAUUCAUCUGAGAUAGCACUUAACUCCAGAUAACUCAAUGAUCAACUCAGCAAGAGCAGCAAACAUCAAAAUUCUACGGCUUUGUAUAUGUACAACUGAAUCACUUUGCUGUACACUUGAAACUAACACAACACUGUUAAUCAACUGAACUCCAAUAUAAAAUAAAAAUUAAAAAAAAAUUAUACGGCUUAGGACAUAUCUCACAUCCUGGGAGCACUGUGUACAAGCUUUCAGUCACCAGAAAAUCAGCAAGAAGGGAAAUGAAGACUUGUGGUAUGUUUGAAUCAACUGAUGUCUUAUUUUAAGCACAGUUUUCUUUUUCCUUUUUAAAAAAAACCAGGUGAAUGUAUUAA